Molecule: ribosomal RNA, 497 nt
Filed under: uncultured bacterium
Lineage: Bacteria
Description: partial 16S ribosomal RNA
Rfam family: Bacterial small subunit ribosomal RNA
Source: RNAcentral
GAUGAACGCUGGCGGCGUGCCUAAUACAUGCAAGUCGAGCGAACAGACGAGGAGCUUGCUCCUCUGACGUUAGCGGCGGACGGGUGAGUAACACGUGGAUAACCUACCUAUAAGACUGGGAUAACUUCGGGAAACCGGAGCUAAUACCGGAUAAUAUAUUGAACCGCAUGGUUCACUAGUGAAAGACGGUUUUGCUGUAACUUAUAGAUGGAUCCGCGCCGCAUUAGCUAGUUGGUAAGGUAACGGCUUACCAAGGCAACGAUGCGUAGCCGACCUGAGAGGGUGAACGGCCACACUGGAACUGAGACACGGUCCAGACUCCUACGGGAGGCAGCAGUAGGGAAUCUUCCGCAAUGGGCGAAAGCCUGACGGAGCAACGCCGCGUGAGUGAUGAAGGUCUUCGGAUCGUAAAACUCUGUUAUUAGGGAAGAACAAAUGUGUAAGUAACUAUGCACGUCUUGACGGUACCUAAUCAGAAAGCCACGGCUAACUACGUG